UCGAGCGGGCCCUUCGGGGUCAGCGGCGGACGGGUGAGUAACGCGUGGGAACGUGCCCUCUGGUCUGGAAUAACCCUGGGAAACUAGGGCUAAUACCGGAUACGCCCUUUUGGGGAAAGGCUUGCUGCCGGAGGAUCGGCCCGCGUCUGAUUAGCUAGUUGGUGGGGUAACGGCCUACCAAGGCGACGAUCAGUAGCUGGUCUGAGAGGAUGAUCAGCCACACUGGGACUGAGACACGGCCCAG
RNAcentral lists this ribosomal RNA (244 nucleotides) under uncultured bacterium. Its description in RNAcentral is "partial 16S ribosomal RNA". It matches the Rfam family "Bacterial small subunit ribosomal RNA", at positions 62 to 334 of the family's 1533-position model. The record is from RNAcentral.